Molecule: ribosomal RNA, 706 nt
Filed under: Bacteroides sp. HGA0015
Lineage: Bacteria; Pseudomonadati; Bacteroidota; Bacteroidia; Bacteroidales; Bacteroidaceae
Description: bacterial SSU rRNA
Rfam family: Bacterial small subunit ribosomal RNA
Source: RNAcentral
CUUAGCUUGCUAAGGCCGAUGGCGACCGGCGCACGGGUGAGUAACACGUAUCCAACCUGCCGUCUACUCUUGGACAGCCUUCUGAAAGGAAGAUUAAUACAAGAUGGCAUCAUGAGUCCGCAUGUUCACAUGAUUAAAGGUAUUCCGGUAGACGAUGGGGAUGCGUUCCAUUAGAUAGUAGGCGGGGUAACGGCCCACCUAGUCUUCGAUGGAUAGGGGUUCUGAGAGGAAGGUCCCCCACAUUGGAACUGAGACACGGUCCAAACUCAUACGGGAGGCAGCAGUGAGGAAUAUUGGUCAAUGGGCGAGAGCCUGAACCAGCCAAGUAGCGUGAAGGAUGACUGCCCUAUGGGUUGUAAACUUCUUUUAUAAAGGAAUAAAGUCGGGUAUGCAUACCCGUUUGCAUGUACUUUAUGAAUAAGGAUCGGCUAACUCCGUGCCAGCAGCCGCGGUAAUACGGAGGAUCCGAGCGUUAUCCGGAUUUAUUGGGUUUAAAGGGAGCGUAGAUGGAUGUUUAAGUCAGUUGUGAAAGUUUGCGGCUCAACCGUAAAAUUGCAGUUGAUACUGGAUAUCUUGAGUGCAGUUGAGGCAGGCGGAAUUCGUGGUGUAGCGGUGAAAUGCUUAGAUAUCACGAAGAACUCCGAUUGCGAAGGCAGCCUGCUAAGCUGCAACUGACAUUGAGGCUCGAAAGUGUGGGUAUCAAACA